AUCCCAACAGCUAGCCCAACUUUAUAAAGCAACAAUCCCCAUUAAUAACCCCAGAAGCAAUAAAAGCUCAAGCCAAACCAUUUUGCCCCCUUAGUACGGGAGACGGAAAAGGGCCCCGGCGCCAUAGAGACAGUACCGCAAGGGAAUGCUGAAAGAGAAUUGAAACAACUCAGUGAAGACCCGAAAAGCAGAGCCUACCUCUCGUACCUUUUGCAUCAUGACUUAGCAAGCACACUCAAGCAAAGAGCCCUUUACGUUUGGCCCCCCGAAACUGGACGAGCUACUCCGAGACAGCCUACGUAGGGCGAACCCGUCUCUGUGGCAAAAGAGUGGGAAGAACUCCGAGUAGAGGUGACAGACCUACCGAGCCCAGUUAUAGCUGGUUGCCUGAGAACUGAAUAGAAGUUCAGCCUUUUGAUUUCUCUCCCCCGCGAGGAGCAAGCUCUUCCCCCCGGCCCAGAGAAUGUUUAGAGAGUUAUUCAAAAGAGGGACAGCUCUUUUGAAUCAAGACACAACUUUUUUAGUUGGGUAAAGACUAAAGAUAACUAGGAACACACCCUGGUGGGCCUAAAAGCAGCCACCCUAACAGAAAGCGUUAAAGCUCAAGUGUAUGUCUCCUGUAAUUUCAGCCACUUCUCCCUAUCCCCCUAACUGUAUCAGGCCAUUCUAUGCCAACAUAGAAGAAAAACUGCUAAUAUGAGUAACAAGGGAGCUCGCCCCUCCCUCCCCGCCAAUGUGUAAUCAGAACAUAGUCUGACUGAAAAUUAACGCCCCCAAGAAGAGGGGACUGGGACACAACCAGGCCAACUAGAUGUGCCCCCAUAAUUAAGCGUUAGCCCCACACUGGAUGGCCAAAGGAAAGACACAAGGGGGAAGAAGGAACUCGGCAAACACCAGCCUCGCCUGUUUACCAAAAACAUCGCCUCUUGCAUAUUAAGUAUAAGAGGUCCCGCCUGCCCUGUGACGAAAGUUUAACGGCCGCGGUAUUUUGACCGUGCGAAGGUAGCGUAAUCACUUGUCUUUUAAAUGAAGACCUGUGUGAAUGGCAUAACGAGGGCUAAGCUGUCUCCUUCCCCCAGUCAGUGAAAUUGAUCUGCCCGUGCAGAAGCGGGCAUAAUUGCAUAAGACGAGAAGACCCUAUGGAGCUUGAGGCGAUUAGGCAGCUUAAGUUAAUGGCCCCCUGCUAAGGGGAAUAAACUAAGUAAUCCCUGCUAAACUGCCUUUGGUUGGGGCGACCACCGGGAAACAAAAAACCCCCGAGCGGAACGGGCAUCAUCCCCUCAGGCUAGAGCCACAACUCCAGCACCCAGAAAUUCUGACCACAAGAUCCGGCAAAGCCGAUCAACGGACCCAGUUACCCUAGGGAUAACAGCGCAAUCCUCUUUUAGAGCCCAUAUCGACAAGGGGGUUUACGACCUCGAUGUUGGAUCAGGACAUCCUACUGGUGCAGCCGCUAUUAAGGGUUCGUUUGUUCAACGAUUAAAGUCCU
Molecule: ribosomal RNA, 1489 nt
Filed under: Ginsburgellus novemlineatus
Lineage: Eukaryota; Metazoa; Chordata; Actinopteri; Gobiiformes; Gobiidae
Description: partial 16S ribosomal RNA
Rfam family: Bacterial large subunit ribosomal RNA
Source: RNAcentral